UACGAAGGGGGGCUAGCGUUGUUCGGAAUUACUGGGCGUAAAGCGCACGUAGGCGGAUAUUUAAGUCAGGGGGUGAAAUCCCGGAGCUCAACUCCGGAACUGCCUUUGAUACUGGGUAUCUUGAGUAUGGAAGAGGUAGUGGAAUUGCGAGUGUAGAGGUGAAAUUCGUAGAUAUUCGCAGGAACACCAGUGGCGAAGGCGGCUUACUGGUCCAUUACUGACGCUGAGGUGCGAAAGCGUGGGGAGCAAACAGG
RNAcentral lists this ribosomal RNA (254 nucleotides) under uncultured bacterium. RNAcentral describes it as "partial 16S ribosomal RNA". It matches the Rfam family "Bacterial small subunit ribosomal RNA", at positions 524 to 776 of the family's 1533-position model. The record is from RNAcentral.